AGCGAACGCUGGCGGUAGGCUUAACACAUGCAAGUCGAACGGCAGCACAGUAAGAGCUUGCUCUUACGGGUUGCGAGUGGCGGACGGGUGAGGAACACAUCCGAACCUCCUUUUUCGUGGGGGAUAACGUAGGGAAACUUACGCUAAUACCGCAUACGACCUACGGCUGAAAGCAGGGGAUCUUCGGACCUUGCGCGAUUGAAUGAGCAGAUGUCGGAUUAGCUAGUGGGCGGGGUAAAGGCCCACCAAGGCGACGAUCCGUAGCUGGUAUGAGAGGAUGAUCAGCCAAACGGGAACGGGGACACGGCCCAGACUCCUAGGGAAGGCGGCAGGGGGGAAUAUUGGAGAAGGAGGGCAAGCCUGAUCCAAACAUACCGGGUGGGGAUGGAAGGCCUUCGGGUGGAAAAGCCCUUUUGUUGGGAAAGAAAGGCAGCAGGUUAAUACCGCGCUGUUCUGACGGUACCCAAAGAAAAAGCACCGGCUAACUUCGUG
Molecule: ribosomal RNA, 492 nt
Filed under: uncultured bacterium
Lineage: Bacteria
Description: partial 16S ribosomal RNA
Rfam family: Bacterial small subunit ribosomal RNA
Source: RNAcentral